CCUACGGGAUGCAGCAGUGGGGAAUAUUGCACAAUGGGGGAAACCCUGAUGCAGCGACGCCGCGUGAGUGAAGAAGUUUUUCGGUAUGUAAAGCUCUAUCAGCAGGGAAGAAAAUGACGGUACCUGAUUAAGAAUCCCUGGCUAACUACGUGCCCGCAGCCGCGGUAAUACGUAGGGGGCAAGCGUUAUCCGGAUUUUAUGGGUGUAAAGGGAGCGUAGACGGGAGCACAAGUCUGGAGUGAAAUGCCGGGGCUUAACCCCGGAACUGCGUUGGAAACUGGGAAGCUAGUGUGAAGGAGAGGUAAGUGGAAUUCGUAGUGUAGCGGUGAAAUGCGUAGAUAUUAGGAGGAACACCAGUGGCGAAGGCGGCUUACUGGACUGUAACUGACGUUGAGGCUCGAAAGCGUGGGGAGCAAACAGGAUUAGAUACCCUUGUAGUC
Molecule: ribosomal RNA, 440 nt
Filed under: uncultured bacterium
Lineage: Bacteria
Description: partial 16S ribosomal RNA
Rfam family: Bacterial small subunit ribosomal RNA
Source: RNAcentral